UACUGGGCGUAAGGAUGCGUAGGCGGAUAUUUAAGUCAGAUGUGAAACCCCCAGGCUUAACUUGGGGACUGCAUUUGAAACUGGGUAUCUAGAGUGCAGGAGAGGUAAGUGGAAUUCCUAGUGUAGCGGUGAAAUGCGUAGAGAUUAGGAAGAACAUCAGUGGCGAAGGCGGCUUACUGGACUGUAACUGACGCUGAGGCAUGAAAGCGUGGGUAGCAAACAGGAUUAGAUACCCUGGUAGUCCACGCUGUAAACGAUGAAUACUAGGUGUGGGAGGUAUCGACUCCUUCCGUGCCGCCGCUAACGCAAUAAGUAUUCCGCCUGGGGAGUACGAUCGCAAGAUUAAAACUCAAAGGAAUUGACGGGGGCCCGCACAAGCAGCGGAGCAUGUGGUUUAAUUCGAAGCAACGCGAAGAACCUUACCUGGACUUGACAUCCCCUGAAUAACCUAGAGAUAGGCGAAGCCCUUCGGGGCAGGGAGACAGGUGGUGAAUGGUUGUCGUCAGCUCGUGUCGUGAGAUGUUAGGUUAAGUCCUGCAACGAGCGCAACCCUUAUCCUUAGUUGCUACCAUCAAGUUGAGCACUCUAAGGAGACUGCCCGGGUUAACCGGGAGGAAGGUGGGGAUGACGUCAAAUCAUCAUGCCCCUUAUGUCCAGGGCCACACACGUGCUACAAUGGUGAGUACAGAAAGAUGCAAUACCGUAAGGUGGAGCAAAACUCUAAAACUCAUCCCAGUUCGGAUUGCAGGCUGCAACUCGCCUGCAUGAAGCCGGAGUUGCUAGUAAUCGCGAAUCAGCAUGUCGCGGUGAAUACGUUCCCGGGCCUUGUACACACCGCCCGUCACACCAUGAGAGCUGGCAACACCCGAAGUCCGUGAGGUAACUCGUAAGAGAGCCAGCGGC
Molecule: ribosomal RNA, 903 nt
Filed under: uncultured bacterium
Lineage: Bacteria
Description: bacterial SSU rRNA
Rfam family: Bacterial small subunit ribosomal RNA
Source: RNAcentral